CGGAUGGGGACAACAGCUGGAAACGGCUGCUAAUACCGAAUACGUUCCGAAAGUGCAUGACUAUCGGAAGAAAGGAUGGCCUCUAUUUAUAAGCUAUCGCCGGAGGAGGGGUUUGCGUCUGAUUAGCUAGUUGGAGGGGUAACGGCCCACCAAGGCGACGAUCAGUAGCCGGUCUGAGAGGAUGAACGGCCACAUUGGAACUGAGACACGGUCCAGACUCCUACGGGAGGCAGCAGUGGGGAAUCUUCCGCAAUGGGCGAAAGCCUGACGGAGCAACGCCGCGUGAGUGAAGACGGCCUUCGGGUUGUAAAGCUCUGUUAUACGGGACGAAUAGUCUUGUGGUUAAUACCCAUGAGAAGUGACGUACC
RNAcentral lists this ribosomal RNA (368 nucleotides) under Megasphaera micronuciformis. RNAcentral's name for it is "bacterial SSU rRNA". It matches the Rfam family "Bacterial small subunit ribosomal RNA", at positions 134 to 479 of the family's 1533-position model. The record is from RNAcentral. Lineage: Bacteria; Bacillati; Bacillota; Negativicutes; Veillonellales; Veillonellaceae.